GACGAACGCUGGCGGCGUGCUUAACACAUGCAAGUCGAACGGAAAGGCCCUGCUUUUGUGGGGUGCUCGAGUGGCGAACGGGUGAGUAACACGUGAGUAACCUGCCCUUGACUUUGGGAUAACUUCAGGAAACUGGGGCUAAUACCGGAUAGGAGCUCCUGCUGCAUGGGGGGGGUUGGAAAGUUUCGGCGGUUGGGGAUGGACUCGCGGCUUAUCAGCUUGUUGGUGGGGUAGUGGCUUACCAAGGCUUUGACGGGUAGCCGGCCUGAGAGGGUGACCGGCCACAUUGGGACUGCGAGACGGCCCAGACUCCUACGGGAGGCAGCAGUGGGGAAUAUUGCACAAUGGGCGGAAGCCUGAUGCAGCAACGCCGCGUGCGGGAUGACGGCCUUCGGGUUGUAAACCGCUUUCGCCUGUGACGAAGCGUGAGUGACGGUAAUGGGUAAAGAAGCACCGGCUAACUACGUG
Molecule: ribosomal RNA, 468 nt
Filed under: uncultured bacterium
Lineage: Bacteria
Description: partial 16S ribosomal RNA
Rfam family: Bacterial small subunit ribosomal RNA
Source: RNAcentral